ACUGUUACGUAACAGCUCAGAUCUCCACGAUGCUUGGGCAGGCAAAGAUGUGCAUGUACUGUUGUCCAAAAUUGGACCAUACAAGAUAUUCUACUGGGACAUAAAGAAGACUGGUCCUCACCAGCAGCUUGAGAGCGAGGUAAUUAAUGCUUUCUUAAGGUUGCUGGUCAUUGAGAACAAUAAGGUCAACAUGAGUAAGGCAGUCAUGAUUGACUCUUAUGAAAUGACAGCAAUCUGGAUGGGGAGGACAUCCAAAGUUAAAAUGAGUCCAAUGGAUUUCCAAACAGUUUUGGGCAUUGUUAAUGUGCAUUACCACUGGAUGCUGAUGGUGAUCUCUCCGCAUGAGAAAAAG
Long non-coding RNA from Brienomyrus brachyistius, 352 nucleotides. RefSeq lists it as uncharacterized. The record is from RefSeq and is a predicted model, not a curated record. The transcript has 4 exons. Lineage: Eukaryota; Metazoa; Chordata; Actinopteri; Osteoglossiformes; Mormyridae.